The sequence is a non-coding RNA, 264 nucleotides long. It matches the Rfam family "Bacterial large signal recognition particle RNA". Rfam says of the family: The signal recognition particle (SRP) is a universally conserved ribonucleoprotein involved in the co-translational targeting of proteins to membranes. Archaeal SRP consists of a 7S RNA and homologues of the eukaryotic SRP19 and SRP54 proteins. In most bacteria, the SRP consists of a 4.5S RNA and the Ffh protein (a homologue of the eukaryotic SRP54 protein). The record is from Rfam.
CUGUACUAGAUGGGGAAGUAGCGGUGCCCUGUAACCUGCAACCCGCUAUAGCAGGAUUGAAUUCCAUCUGGAGGCUACUACUUUGUGGAGCUGCCCGAAGCAAGUGGUGUUGACGCUUAGGUCCUAUGCAAUGUAAGCCCAUGAACCCUGUCAGAUCCGGAAGGAAGCAGCAGUAAGUGGUUACUGCAUGUGACGUGGGAGUGCCUAAGUUGAGCUAACUACUUUGGUAACGUCUGUGAAGUAUAGUCGAUAGAUGGUGUACAG